Molecule: ribosomal RNA, 253 nt
Filed under: uncultured bacterium
Lineage: Bacteria
Description: partial 16S ribosomal RNA
Rfam family: Bacterial small subunit ribosomal RNA
Source: RNAcentral
GACGAACCGUACGAACGUUAUUCGGAAUCACUGGGCUUAAAGGGUGCGUAGGCUGCGCAGAAAGUUGGGUGUGAAAUCCCUCGGCUCAACCGAGGAACUGCGCCCAAAACUACUGUGCUCGAGGGAGACAGAGGUGAGCGGAACUUAGGGUGGAGCGGUGAAAUGCGUUGAUAUCCUAAGGAACACCAGUGGCGAAGGCGGCCACCUGGCUCGGUACUGACGCUCAGGUUCGAAAGCGUGGGGAGCAAACAGG